This is a long non-coding RNA of Otolemur garnettii (small-eared galago), 103 nucleotides long. RefSeq lists it as uncharacterized. The transcript has 3 exons. Lineage: Eukaryota; Metazoa; Chordata; Mammalia; Primates; Galagidae. The record is from RefSeq and is a predicted model, not a curated record.
UUUCAAAAAUGAACAUGGGGUGGUGCCUGUGGCUCAAAGGAAUAGGACACUGGCUUCAUAUGACAGAGGUGGAGAACUCAAACCUAGCCCUGGCCAAAAACUG